Molecule: small nuclear RNA, 109 nt
Filed under: Daphnia pulicaria
Lineage: Eukaryota; Metazoa; Arthropoda; Branchiopoda; Diplostraca; Daphniidae
Source: RNAcentral
AAGUAAUCGCCUGAGGUACAUUGAUACUAAAAUUGGAACGAUACAGAGAAGAUUAGCAUGGCCCCUGCGCAAGGAUGACACGCAAAAUCGUGAAGCGUUCCACAUUUUU